This 433-nucleotide ribosomal RNA is filed under the name uncultured bacterium. RNAcentral describes it as "partial 16S ribosomal RNA". It matches the Rfam family "Bacterial small subunit ribosomal RNA", at positions 29 to 507 of the family's 1533-position model. The record is from RNAcentral.
AACGAACGCUGGCGGCAUGCCUAACACAUGCAAGUCGAACGAGACCUUCGGGUCUAGUGGCGCACGGGGGCGUAAAGCGUGGGAACCUUCCCUUAGGUUCGGAAUAACUCCCCGAAAGGGGGGCUAAUAUCGGGUAAUGUCCUCGGACCAAAGAUUUAACCCCUUUGGAUGGGCCCGCGUUGGAUUAGCUAGUUGGUAGGGUAAAAGCCUACCAAGGCGACGAUCCAUAGCUGGUCUGAGAGGAUGAUCAGCCACACUGGGACUGAGACACGGCCCAGACUCCUACGGGAGGCAGCAGUGGGGAAUAUUGGACAAUGGGCGAAAGCCUGAUCCAGCAAUGCCGCGUGAGUGAUGAAGGCCUUAGGGUUGUAAAGCUCUUUUACCCGGGAUGAUAAUGACAGUACCGGGAGAAUAAGCUCCGGCUAACUCCGUG